Molecule: transfer RNA, 74 nt
Filed under: Pleurogrammus monopterygius (Atka mackerel)
Lineage: Eukaryota; Metazoa; Chordata; Actinopteri; Perciformes; Hexagrammidae
Description: tRNA-Lys
Rfam family: tRNA
About the family: Transfer RNA (tRNA) molecules are approximately 80 nucleotides in length. Their secondary structure includes four short double-helical elements and three loops (D, anti-codon, and T loops). Further hydrogen bonds mediate the characteristic L-shaped molecular structure. tRNAs have two regions of fundamental functional importance: the anti-codon, which is responsible for specific mRNA codon recognition, and the 3' end, to which the tRNAs corresponding amino acid is attached (by aminoacyl-tRNA synthetases). tRNAs cope with the degeneracy of the genetic code in two manners: having more than one tRNA (with a specific anti-codon) for a particular amino acid; and 'wobble' base-pairing, i.e. permitting non-standard base-pairing at the 3rd anti-codon position.
Source: RNAcentral
CGCUAAGAAGCUAAACUGGGGACAGCGUUAGCCUUUUAAGCUAAAGAUCGGUGACUCCCACCCACCCUUAGCGA